RNAcentral lists this transfer RNA (77 nucleotides) under Bacillus subtilis subsp. subtilis str. BSP1. RNAcentral describes it as "tRNA-Asp". Lineage: Bacteria; Bacillati; Bacillota; Bacilli; Caryophanales; Bacillaceae. The record is from RNAcentral.
UUUUCCCUUUCGCUUGAUUUGAAGCCAAGAAUCAAAAAGGUGGAAACCGAUUAUUUUGAAUGUAAUGUAUAUACCAA